Long non-coding RNA from Patella vulgata (common limpet), 3739 nucleotides. RefSeq lists it as uncharacterized. NCBI's taxonomy places the organism in Eukaryota, Metazoa, Mollusca, Gastropoda, Patellidae. The transcript has 2 exons. The record is from RefSeq and is a predicted model, not a curated record.
GGAGUUAAAUACAGUACUACAACGGUUGUUUUACCUCGUAUUUAAUCUAAUUAUGUAAAAGUUAUUAAGAUGCAUAAUGCAAGGUCUAAAUAUGCCUAUUGCUUGAGAUUUUCAGUUGAAUAUAUUAAUGAAGAUUGAGACCCUAAGAGAAAUGGCACAAACCAACCAGAUGUUUGAAAACUUUACGCAUCGAAGGUGCCAGACCAUGAUUUUGAGGGGUUGGAGAAGCUGUGUGAAAGUAUUAAGGAACUCCAAGAAUUGUGUAAAAAGGAAGAGGAGGAGGAUACCUUCAAAAAAAAUUUAAAAAAUAUUGUGAGUGUAGCAGGAGGAUCGCAUGAUCGACUCCAGGUCGGGGUUGAGACAAGUUAACAACAACAGUUUAUUACGGGACAAUAUAUAUACUUUACAGAACAACAAAAAACACUGAAAAGAUAAAUGAUUAUUUACACAAGUGAAUUAUUAAAUGAUGUAUAUAUUCUAUUAAUUACUAAUAGAUCAGGAGGCAAGUUAUAAUAUAAGUACUAUAUUAUAUGUAUUAAAAUAUCUAUUUACAUUUAAUCUGUUAUGACAAAGAUAUAAAUAUAGAUAUCAAACUAACAUACCCUAAGACAGGUGUUUUCCAGGAAAAUAAAUGUGACCAUAGAGUUGUAAACUUUAUAGACAACACAAUAAAACAAUUAACAAGACAUUACACAGGGGAUACUAUAUUUAAUCAAUGUUUACUUAUGAAAUAUAAAGUUACCUAGUUUCUAUAUAUACUAUUCAAAAAAAGUAGGGGAUAUUUGAUUUUUAAGUGUUAUUAAAGUCACCUAAUGAAACUGGCGAAGAAACAAAUGACAAAAUGAAAUGAAGUUCACAUUCAUCGAUUUAUUCCAAAUGAUCGUUAGACUAAGUAAGGCACAGACUGACCAUUAUAAGGGUAAAAUGAUACCCGGGGUCAAACAGCAAAGUUACCAUAGCAUCACAACCAAGUCAGUAACGGGUAAAUCCUCCUCUGUUUGCCAAACAAGCAUUGAUCCGACGUGGCAUACUCCUAAUGAGACGUCUAAGGUCAUUUUGGUCCAGAUUGUCCCAUUCCUGUUGCAACGCAGCAGCAAGUUCUUGGACAUUGGCAGGACGUUGUUGACGUUGACGUAACCUCUGUCCAAGCAUGUCCCAGACAUGCUCGAUGGGGGAGAGGUCGGGACUCAGUGCUGGCCAAGGUAAUGUGGUGAUGUUCUGUUGUUGGAGGUAACCUGUAACGAUCCUGGCCCUGUGAAAUCUUGCGUUGUCAUCCUGGAAGAUGAAACGGCGGCCAUGACGUCGUGCGAACGGCACAACAUGGACUGCCAAGAUGUUGUCCCGGUAGUACUGGCCUGUAACACGCCCUGCAACAACAUGUAAAGCCGUUCUUCCAGCAACAGUGAUGCCUCCCCACACCACGUCUUGGAAGCGCUCGUUUCGACGACGCCACACCCUCCUACGUCUGUCCAAAAAAUCAACAGUGAACCUUGACUCAUCUGAAAACAUCACAUUGCUCCAGCGUCGAUUAUCCCAGUGUUGACGAUCCCUACACCAACGACGUCUUGCCUGAAUGUGAUGAUCUCUCAAACAAGGGAUCACGCGAGGACGUCGGGCGCGAAGGUGACCCCUAUGCAGUCGAUUCCGAAUCGUACGGCCACUCACUCUCACACCAGUGUCUGUUUGAAGACGAGCGCUGAUCUGAUUUGCUGUGAUGACACGAUUUCUCAAGGCCAAGGUACGGAUAAAUCGAUCCUGGGCUUGAGUUGUCGCCCUUGGUCGACCUGAGCGUGGUCUGUCUCCUGUACAGAUUGUGUAUCACGGUAUCUGGACCAUAGCCUGCUUAUGACAGACUGAGAAACAUUCAUCGUCCGCGCCACAACCGCCUGUGUUGUGCCGGACUGUAGCAUGCCAAGGGCACGUAGCCUUUCAUUUUGGGUAAGCCGACGCAUAUCAAAAUUUGUUUUCUGGUCACUAAAACAAUUAAACUGAUGUUUCCACCCUGGAAUUCAAUGCCACAAUGACUGUAACAUUCAAAGUCAGAGUCGUGCAAAUCUUGGGUUGGACCCCCAUGAUGAUCCCAAGCAUCACCUGCAUUCCAUGCGGUAGCUAUUGGUGCGUUUGGGCGUCACAUGUAACUGGAAAUGUUUCUUCUGUUAGGUUCUAUAGUGACUUUUUUCGUAGUCAUUUGCAUAUUUUAGUAUUAUGACCCCAAAAUCAAAUAUCCCCUACUUUUUUUGAAUAGUAUAUAUAUAUUAAUUUGCUAAUAAUUAAUUUACUAGUUUAGAAUUACUUAUAUAGUUUAAAAUGUCUAGUCCAGUCAAACAAAUAUUAAACCUACCUUGAAAUAAAUGAUUAAUUGUGCUGUAAUUAAGUACAGAUGUUGACAGGUGACCAGAAAAUAAAAGAGUGAAGUUAGUAACUAGGAUAAACAAAGCAGGUUUCCAAGAUGCUUAAAUCUACUCACUAUCUUACAAUAGCAUCUUUAAACUAUAAACUAAAGUAAUUAAAACCACUGGAAAUACAAGGCUAGCUGGAUACACAGGACAAUGGAAACUGACUAAAAUCUUUAAACAGAAUAUAUAUAACACCCUACUAAAAUAGUUAAAGAGAAUAUAACACCCUACUACAUGAGUAUUGUAAUACUAGUAUUUAAUUCAUUUUUAUACGCCCACAUUGAAAUGUGGACAUAUAUUGCCGUCGCCCCCGUCCGUCCGUCUGUCGAUCGUCCACAAUUUCUUGUGAACGCUCUAACGCCAAAAGUUAUCAUUCAAUUGUUUUAAAAUUGAUAUAUGUUGUUUACAUUAGUGAGAUGAAGAGACCUAUUUAAUUCCAAUAAUUUCUGUUUAUUAUGGCCCUUGUUUCACUUUGUUGAACCUUGUGAACGCUCUAAUGCCAAAAGUUAACAUACGAUCUUUGUGAAAUUUAAAUUAGUGAAACGAAGAAGCCUAUUGAAUUUCAGCAAUUUCCGUUUAUUACGUCUAGAGUUAUGGCCCUUGUUUCACUUUAUUGAAGCCUGUGAACACCAAAAGUUAUCAUCCGAUCUGUCUGAAGUUUAUAUGCAUUAUUUAGAUUACUGAAACGAAGAAGCCUAUUGAAUUUCGGCAAUUUCCGUUUAUUACGUCUAGAGUUAUGGCCCUUGUUUCACUUUAUUGAACCAAAAGUUAUCAUCCGAUCUUUCUGAAAUUUGUAUGCAUUAUUUAGAUUACUGAACCGAAAAAUCCUAUUGAAUUUCGGCAAUUUUCGUUUAUUAAUACGUCUAGAGUUAUGCCCCCCCCCCCCCCUAAUCAUCAUAAAAGUGCCAUCCAAAGUGUCAAGGUGAGUAAAAUUUUAUUGAGUGCUAGGCUGAUUUUCUGUUAUAGUGUCGUGAAUAUCCUUGUUCUGGCUUUAGUCCAUGUGACAGGCAGAUAUUCAUUACCAAUUUGAUGAAUUGGUUUAACUAUGAUUUUCAGUUAGCCUUAGGUCUAAAGUGUCCAAAAUAGGUUGAUGGACUUCCGGGUCACUUUGCCAAAUGUCAGUUUGGCGGCCAUCUUUAAAAAAAAUGGCCGCCGUUUUUUUUUCUUAUUUGAAAUAGUGCGAGUCGGGGAAGCCUUCAUAACUCCUCAACAGUUUCACCUAUAUGGAUAUGUAAUAUAUCUCAAAAUGUUCAUAAUAUAAUUCUGCAUCUGCUGGUAUAUGAUAUAUGUUGUUUAAUCAAUACUAUCAGUUUUAAAAUAAAAGAUUAAUCUGAAAAAAGCAA